RNAcentral lists this ribosomal RNA (305 nucleotides) under uncultured bacterium. Its description in RNAcentral is "bacterial SSU rRNA". It matches the Rfam family "Bacterial small subunit ribosomal RNA", at positions 338 to 660 of the family's 1533-position model. The record is from RNAcentral.
CCUACGGGAGGCAGCAGUGGGGAAUAUUGCACAAUGGGGGAAACCCUGAUGCAGCAAUGCCGCGUGGGUGAAGAAGCACUCCGGUGCGUAAAGCCCUGUCAGCAGGGAAGAAAAUGACAGUACCUGGACAAGAAGCCCCGGCUAACUACGUGCCAGCAGCCGCGGUAAUACGUAGGGGGCAAGCGUUAUCCGGAUUUACUGGGUGUAAAGGGAGCGCAGGCGGCGUGGCAAGUCAGAUGUGAAAACCCGCAGCUCAACUGGGGGAGUGCAUUUGGAACUGUGUAGCUGGAGUGCAGGAGAGGUAA